This is a non-coding RNA of Acanthosepion pharaonis, 109 nucleotides long. The record is from the annotation of a GenBank genome assembly. NCBI's taxonomy places the organism in Eukaryota, Metazoa, Mollusca, Cephalopoda, Sepiida, Sepiidae.
UUACGACCAUAUCACCUUGAAACACCGGUUCUUGUACGAUCACUGAAGUUAAGCAACGUCGAGCUUGAUCAGUAUCUAGAUGGAUGACAGCUUAGGAAUACCCGGUGCU